GGGGCGUGGGCGAAGUUCGUCCGCGGGACUCGGAAUGGCCCCAGACUUGGCGGGCGGCCUCCGUGUGCCAAAAAUAGGCCACGGGCACAGCCGCGCCCAAAAAUCAGCCCCCGAAGGUUGGGGUCCCAAGACCCCCCAGCGGAAAAAUGGCCAAAAAACGGGUGGGCUAUAGCCUUGGUGGGGGGCGUGGGCGAAGUUCGUCCGCGGGACUCGGAAUGGCCCCAGACUUGGCGGGCGGCCUCCGUGUGCCAAAAAUAGGCCACGGUCACAGCCGCGCCCAAAAAUCAGCCCCCCAAGGUCGGGGUCCCAAGACCCCCCAGCGGAAAAAUGGCCAAAAAAUGGGUGGGCUAUAGCCUAUGUGGGGGGCGUGGGCGAAGUUCGUCCGCGGGACUCGGAAUGGCCCCAGACUUGGCGGGCAGCCUCCGUGUGCCAAAAAUUGGCCACGGGCACAGCCGCACCCAAAAAUCAGCCCCCGAAGGUCGGGGUGCCAAGACCCCCCAGCGGAAAAAUGGCGAAAAACGGGUGGGCUAUAGCCUUGGUGGGGGGCGUGGGCGAAGUUCGUCCGCGGGACUCGGAAUGGCCCCAGCCUUGGCGGGCGGCCUCCGUGUGCCAAAAAUAGGCCACGGGCACAGCCGCGCCCAAAAAUGAGCCCCCGAAGGUCGGGGUCCCAAGGCCCCCCAGCGGAAAAAUGGCCAAAAAAAUGGGUGGGCUAUAGCCUUGGUGGGGACGUGGGCGAAGUUCGUCCGCUGGACUCGGAAUGGCCCCAGACUUGGUGGGCGGCCUCCGUGUGCCAAAAAUAGGCCACGGGCACAGCCGCGCCCAAAAAUCAGCCCCCCAAGGUCGGGGUCCCAAGACCCCCCAGCGGAAAAAUGGCCAAAAAAUGGGUGGGCUAUAGCCUAUGUGGGGGGCGUGGGCGAAGUUCGUCCGCGGGACUCGGAAUGGCCCCAGACUUGGCGGGCGGCCUCCGUGUGCCAAAAAUAGGCCACGGGCACAGCCGCGCCCAAAAAUCAGCCCCCGAAGGUCGGGGUCCUAAGACCCCCCAGCGGAAAAAUGGCCAAAAAACGGGUGGGCUAUAGCCUUGGUGGGGGGCGUGGGCGAAGU
RNAcentral lists this long non-coding RNA (1101 nucleotides) under Citrus x clementina. Its description in RNAcentral is "Citrus clementina (C. clementina) long non-coding RNA (CCLE_LNC004988)". The record is from RNAcentral. Lineage: Eukaryota; Viridiplantae; Streptophyta; Magnoliopsida; Sapindales; Rutaceae.